Molecule: long non-coding RNA, 1249 nt
Organism: Silurus meridionalis
Lineage: Eukaryota; Metazoa; Chordata; Actinopteri; Siluriformes; Siluridae
Exons: 3
Source: RefSeq, a predicted model, not a curated record
CAUCCAAAAGCUCCAAAUAAAUAAAAUCCAUAUACAAUUUUGUCACAAAUUCCACCCAAUAGGAACUUUAUUCUGCUGUGGUGAACCAAGCUAAUGCAUAUUUUUGGCUGCCUGUCUUCAGUCCUUUUGCAAAAAAAAAAAUGUAGAUGGAGGUUAACCAUUAGCUUAUCAUUCUGCUAAAUCAGAUUCCACUGCGGCAGGCAUGCUCACAUAUUUCACAGCUCUCAGCUGCAAGCUGACUUACAGGUUCUUCAGUCUAUGGCCACUGCAGAAAAAAAGAAAACCUGGUGGAAAUCGAGUUGUGUGGCUGAACACAGAGUGAGAAGACAUAAGAAGCUGAAAGAGAAGAAAGUGAAACAAGAAGUGGAUGGAAUAAACAAUUCAACCCAUCCUUGCGUGACACACAUGGGGCGUAUCCAAAACUACACAUGGUAGGAGAUUUGCUGCUUCCAAGAUACCACUGAUCCUGAUUUCUUUUGCUCUCCUGAUUGGCCUUAUCCUGUUUGGAGAUCUCCUCACCUGAGGACAGCCUCCAACAUGUCCACAGAUCACUAUGAGAUUACAAAAAAAAAAAAAAAAGAACUACACUGACUGGUGUUUCUGUUAAUUAUAUAAAAGAGUUGAAUUGAUUGUGUAGAUUUUGAAGUGUAUUUGUGGAUAUGAGACUAGGUCUCAGAUCUUUUUUAGAUCUUCCAUUUCCACCCAUGUAUAGCAUAUCUUCAUGAAGCUGGCUUCGUAAACAGGAGCAUUUUCAUGCAGAAACAUGUUUGGGAAGUUCAGAUCCCAUAGUUAAAGGGAAGAAAUCUUGUCAUGCUACCACAUCCAAAGACAUCCUAUUAGACCAUUGUGAGCCUUCAACUUUGUAGUUACAGUUUGGGAAAAAUCAGGGGUCCAACUAGGUUUGUCUAUAUAGUGUGUAUAGAAAGAGUUCACUCUGUUUUUUAUGUCAGUUCUGUUUCUCUGAUGUUCAUUUACUGAUUUGACACUUCUGAUGUUCUGUUUCAAAUGUAUGUGUCUAUUAAACACUUUCACAAAAAAAUGAACACAUUUUGCAUUGUAAGCAAGUGAUGUGGUCAUUUUAUAGAGAUGAAUAAUGUAAAUUGGGGUCACUGAUAAGAUUAAAAAUAUAUAAAAACUAUAGCAAUAGCACACAAACACUAAAAACCUUUACCUAGUCAAAAAAUAAUUAUUAGGUGUGGGUAAUUUAGAAGUGAGGGGUAAAAUAGCAUUUCCUGCUCGUGGGUAUCGU